RNAcentral lists this long non-coding RNA (1310 nucleotides) under Vulpes vulpes (red fox). RNAcentral's name for it is "lncRNA (ENSVVUG00000016170.1)". The record is from RNAcentral. Lineage: Eukaryota; Metazoa; Chordata; Mammalia; Carnivora; Canidae.
CCUACCCCUGCUUCUCUUUUUCACAACAUCCUGUUCUCUCCUUUUAGAUCACUUACUACAGUGUUUUAAGAUUUUAUUUUUGUAUUUAUUCAUAAGAGACCCAGAGAAAGAGGCAGAGACACGCGGAGGAGAAGCAGGCUCCCCGCAGAGAGCCCAAUGCGGGACUCAGGACUCGAUCUGGACCAAGGAUCACGCCUUGAGCCAAAGGCAGACGCUCAACCAACCACUGAGCCACCCAGGCAUCCCACUGCAGUGUUAAUUUAGGAUUUAUUGAGCUCCGACUAAGCUCCAAGCAAGCCUUGUUCUAGACUCUCAGAAUCAAUAGGGAACAAAAUAGACAGAAAUACUUGCUCCGGGACCUGACCUGGGUAGGAAGAAGAUGGGGAGGAGAUCGUAGGUUAUGCUUUGAUAAGGCAAAGACAAGAAAUAAAAGACAUUAUAUUGGAGAAGUAAAAUUUGCAGAUGACAUGAUCACCAACAUAAAAAAAUCUGAUGGAAGCUUCCAAAAAAGCUGCUAGAACUGGUAACCAUCUUUCUGCCACCACAAGGUUUCCCUUUCUCUCAGUAUCAAACGACAUUUUCUUCAAGUUCUCACUGACAUCCUCCUCAAAGCUCUAUAGGCUUUUAGUAUCUCCAAGGCCCUGGGAAGAUCCCAUAUGUGUUUUUGGGCUCAGAUUCUCUUGUGCACCUGAGGUCAAGAGGAGCUAGAGCUGGGCCAGCAGGGGACAUUUCUCUCCUCAUCAUGGAGUCCCAGGGCCUCUCCAUGUGGUCUCUCCACAUAGGCUGGUUGGGACUUCCUCCCUGCAUGGCUAUCUUAGAGCAGCCAGACUGCUUGAGAAGCUGAAAGUUCAAGCGUGAGUGUUCCACCUCCCAAGGAAGAAGCUACACUAUCUUUUAUGAUCUUGGAAAUGACCUGUGGAUAGAAGUCACUUUACCAUGGUAUAUGGACCCAAACUAUCACAAGCUCCCCCAAAAUUCAAGGGGAGAAGACUGACUCCACCUCUUGAUGGGGCAGUGUUGAGCUUCUAGAAGACAUCUGGCAAUAAGACAUAUUUUUGUGGCCGUCUUUGCAAAAUACAAUCUGACAUAAUAAGGAAACCCCUCAUUGAUGAAAAUUUCUGUGUGCCAAAUUAAAAAAAAAAAAAACCUCUCAUACCUGAUAAUUAUUUAAUGCAUUUCCUCAUUUUGUCUUUCUUGAGACUUCCUUUGGGGAUUCAGGUAUCAAAACCAGUGGGAUGUUGGAAGUAGCUUACACGAGCUCCUAAAAGCCAAUUGUAAAAUUUUCAGGAAUUCUGCAUGCUGGUUGUUAA